Molecule: ribosomal RNA, 411 nt
Filed under: Anguilla anguilla (European eel)
Lineage: Eukaryota; Metazoa; Chordata; Actinopteri; Anguilliformes; Anguillidae
Description: partial large subunit ribosomal RNA
Rfam family: Bacterial large subunit ribosomal RNA
Source: RNAcentral
CGCCUCUUGCUAACAAAGGAAGUACUAGAGGUCCCGCCUGCCCUGUGACCACAAAGUUUAACGGCCGCGGUAUCCUGACCGUGCGAAGGUAGCGUAAUCAUUUGUCUUUUAAAUAGAGACCUGUAUGAAUGGCAUAACGAGGGUUUAACUGUCUCCUUCCCCUAGUCAAUGAAAUUGAUCUGCCCGUGCAGAAGCGGACAUAAACACAUAAGACGAGAAGACCCUAUGGAGCUUUAGACAAAAGAUCAAACAUGUAAAGAAACCAAACCAACCAAAAGGAACACGAAGGCCACAAAACCCAACGUAAACUGAUCUAAAUGUCUUCGGUUGGGGCGACCAUGGGGGAAAGAAAAGCCCCCACGAGGAACAGGGACAACCCCUAAACUAAGAGAGACACCUCUAAGCAACAGA